This 245-nucleotide ribosomal RNA is filed under the name uncultured bacterium. RNAcentral describes it as "partial small subunit ribosomal RNA". It matches the Rfam family "Bacterial small subunit ribosomal RNA", at positions 26 to 285 of the family's 1533-position model. The record is from RNAcentral.
AGAAUCAACGCUGGCGGCGUGCCUAACACAUGCAAGUCGAACGAGAAAGUGGAGCAAUCCAUGAGUAAAGUGGCGACCGGGUGAGUAACACGUGACUAACCUACCUUCGAGUGGGGGAUAACCUCGGGAAACCGAGGCUAAUACCGCAUAACAUCGCAAGAUCAAAGCAGCAAUGCGCUGGAAGAGGGGGUCGCGGCUGAUUAGCUAGUUGGCGGGGUAAUGGCCCACCAAGGCUUAGAUCGGUA